GACAUAGGUCGCAAACGUUAUCCGGAAUUAUUGGGCGUAAAGGAUGCGUAGAUGGCGAGAUAAGUUAGUAGUGGCAAAUCGGGGCUCAACCCCGUGGAAGCUGGUAAUACUGUCUGGCUGGAGGGCAGGAGGAGUUAACGGAACUCCCUGUGGAGCGGUGAAAUGCGUAGAUAUAGGGAAGAACACCAAUCAGCGAAGGCAGUUAACUAUUCUGUUCCUGACAUUGAGGCAUGAAAGCGUGGGGAGCAAAACGG
This 254-nucleotide ribosomal RNA is filed under the name uncultured bacterium. Its description in RNAcentral is "partial 16S ribosomal RNA". It matches the Rfam family "Bacterial small subunit ribosomal RNA", at positions 524 to 776 of the family's 1533-position model. The record is from RNAcentral.